Molecule: ribosomal RNA, 433 nt
Filed under: uncultured bacterium
Lineage: Bacteria
Description: partial 16S ribosomal RNA
Rfam family: Bacterial small subunit ribosomal RNA
Source: RNAcentral
AACGAACGCUGGCGGCAUGCCUAACACAUGCAAGUCGAACGAAACCUUCGGGUCUAGGGGCGCACGGGUGCGUAACGCGUGGGAACCUGCCCUUAGGUUCGGAAUAACUCCCCGAAAGGGGUGCUAAUACCGGAUAAUGUCUUCGGACCAACGAUUUAUCGCCUUUGGAUGGGCCCGCGUUGGAUUAGCUAGUUGGUAGGGUAAAAGCAUACCAAGGCGACGAUCCAUAGCUGGUCUGAGAGGAUGAUCAGCCACACUGGGACUGAGACACGGCCCAGACUCCUACGGGAGGCAGCAGUGGGGAAUAUUGGACAAUGGGCGAAAGCCUGAUACAGCAAUGCCGCGUGAGUGAUGAAGGCCUUAGGGUUGUAAAGCUCUUUUACCCGGGAUGAUAAUGACAGUACCGGGAGAAUAAGCGCCGGCUAACUCCGUG